Molecule: long non-coding RNA, 886 nt
Filed under: Marmota monax (woodchuck)
Lineage: Eukaryota; Metazoa; Chordata; Mammalia; Rodentia; Sciuridae
Source: RNAcentral
CUCUGAAGCAGGGUGCACUGGUGCAUGCCUGUAAUCUCACUGACUUGGGAGGCUGAGGGAGGAGGAUCACAAGUUGAAGGAGAACCUCAACUACUUAGGGAGACCCUGUCUCAAGAUAAAAUAAUAAUAAUAAAAAAAAAAUUAGAAGGGCUGAGGAUGAACUCAGUGGUAAAGUACCCCUGGUUUUUCAAUCCCCAGGACCAAAUCAUCAUCAUCAUCAUACUAAAGCCCAUUAAUAUGUACAACAUAUUCGUGUUCAUCAAAAAUAAAACAAAAUAUUUAAAAAUAUUUUAAAAAGAACAUACAGAUGGCUGAGUACAAGAAAGGCUUGGUCAUGGAAUAAAUAAAAAAGAAGUCAAAAGCUACAAACGCAUCUUAGAAUGAGACUGCCAACCUUGUUCAUAAUCUGGGGAUUUAAAAAUAAAACCACAGGAAGAUACCACCUUAUUCUUACCAGAAGAGCAAAAAGAAAGAGUCUGAUGACACCAAGUGUUGGGGAAGAGGAGGGUGUUACAGCGAUUCCAACCUGGGCUGGUGGCCUUGUUAAUUAGUUCAACCGUGUUGGGAUCAGUUUGGCAUUACAGGGCAUCGUGGGAAAAGUGCCUAUCUCUCUGGAGAAAUUCUUAACACGCCUAGAACUUGAGACAGUGGAGACUCCAGUGUGGAUCAUAACAACCCCAGUAGGAAUCAACCUAAACACCCACAAAUAUCAGAAUGGAUAAAUAAAUUUUAUAUUAUUUCUGCAACAGCUUUUCACACUGCUAUAGAAACGACAUGAUUUAACAGCUGCUCACACAAGAUAGAGAAACCCUGCGAUCAGAAUUCGAAUAAGUCCCAUGGUAUGAGUCCUAAGAGGACAUCAAAAGAAUGAAUCACAGAAAGUGCA